Molecule: ribosomal RNA, 325 nt
Filed under: uncultured eukaryote
Lineage: Eukaryota
Description: partial 18S ribosomal RNA
Rfam family: Eukaryotic small subunit ribosomal RNA
Source: RNAcentral
CCCUUAGAUGUUCUGGGCCGCACGCGCGCUACACUGAUGCAUUCAACGAGUUUUACCUUGGCCGAGAGGCUUGGGCAAUCUUUUGAACGUGCAUCGUGAUAGGGAUAGAUUAUUGAAAUUAUUAAUCUUGAACGAGGAAUUCCUAGUAAACGCAAAUCAUCAAUUUGCAUUGAUUACGUCCCUGCCCUUUGUACACACCGCCCGUCGCACCUACCGAUUGAAUGGUCCGGUGAAGCCUCGGGAUUGUGACUUGUUCCCUUUAUUGGGAGUAGGUUGUGAGAACUUGUCUAAACCUUAUCAUUUAGAGGAAGGUGAAGUCGUAACA